GGGUGGCGCACGUGCGCUCCGUUUGGGUGGGGUGGGCUGCCUACCGCUAUACGCCUGUACCGCAGCCGGUGUGGCUGACGCUGAAGUGUGCUCCGCUCCGCCUCCGCCCGCGGCCGUACGCUCCCGAGCUCCACCCGUCGCGCCCCGACCGAGAUCGUCCCCGGCGAUGGCUUCCGCGGUGGCCGCUUCGACCGCUACGCGGUUCCUGCCGCGGCUUCCGGACCCGUGGUGGACGCGUCGUGCGCGAGCGGCGCUCCCGCCGCCGCCGCUCACGUGGCGGCCUCUCCCGUUCACGGUGUCCGCCGCGUCGUCCCGCCCUGGGGAAGCGGAAGGAGGACGGCGCGGGAGGAUGCGGAGGCGGCGCGCCAGGAGGGCGGAACAGGAGGAAGGCGUCUCGCUAAGCUCUGAAAAGGAGACGGUAAAUUCUACUCCACGUGCUCAACCCAAAAAGGGUGCAGAACCCGUAGCGGUGUCCAGCACGAGUGGGAAAGGCUCUGCCAUUAGAAGGGUGACACUUGUGAUUCUUGCUGCCGUGCUUUUUGGAGUUAGCAUUGCCUUGAAGGACGGGGCCGAGAAGGCAUCGGAGUAUUUUGCUGGGUAUUUAUUGGAACAGAGUUUGUCGGUGGACAAUCUCUUUGUUUUUGUUCUGGUCUUUAAGUAUUUCAAAGUGCCAAAUGAAUACCAGAAUCGAGUACUUUCUUAUGGUAUUGCUGGAGCUGUGGUCUUCCGGGCUGUGAUGAUCAUCCUAGGAACAGCUACCAUCCAGAAAUUUGAGGCGGUGAAUUUGUUGUUGGCUUUGAUCCUGUUAUUCACUUCUUACAAGCUCUUUGCUGAAGAAGAAGAAGAAUCUGAUCUAUCUGAUAACUUCAUUGUGAAAACAUGCCAAAAGUUCAUUCCAGUCACUGAUUAUUAUGAUGAUAAUCGUUUUUUCACAAAUCAAGAUGGUGUAUGGAAAGCUACACCAUUGCUCUUGACUUUGGCAGUGAUUGAGCUGAGUGAUAUUGCCUUUGCUAUUGACUCAAUACCAGCAGUUUUUGGCGUCACAAGGGAUCCACUUAUAAUACUAUCAUCAAAUAUUUUUGCUAUUUCUGGGUACAGUUGCUGCACUUCUAGAUAAUGUCAAGAGCUAACUUGAUGGAAUUAUUGUUAUGUCAGGUUUGCGGUCGCUCUAUGUGCUCGUUUCUGAAAGCAUGGGUGAAUUGGAGUAUCUACAGCCUGCCAUUGGUAUUGUGUUGGGCUUCAUUGGGACAAAGAUGAUCUUUGACUUUUUUGGUUAUCAUAUACCAACAGAAGCUUCGCUUGCAAUUGUAACUACAUGUCUUAGUGGAGGCGUCAUAUUAAGUCUUAGGAAAGCAUCAAAAGAGAAGGGGGACAAGUAGACUGAUGCAACAACACAUGCAGGCAUAGGAAUCCAGCUUGCUCCAUAUUUUUGGCAGAUAGUCAAGUUACAAAAAUAAUUAUAAUAAACACUUAAAAGCCAGGUAAACAUAGUGUUUUCACUAAACUAAUUACUUGUAUAAAAAAAUCUAACCUGACAGAAUAUCUUUUGAUCAGUAUAUGUAGUCUUAGCUAA
RNA transcript from Zea mays, 1573 nucleotides. It is a transcript of the gene named protein alx, with no coding region annotated. The transcript has 13 exons. NCBI's taxonomy places the organism in Eukaryota, Viridiplantae, Streptophyta, Magnoliopsida, Poales, Poaceae. The record is from RefSeq and is marked validated.